UACGUNCCAGCAGCCGCGGUAAUACGUAGGUCCCGAGCGUUGUCCGGAUUUAUUGGGCGUAAAGCGAGCGCAGGCGGUUAGAUAAGUNUGAAGUUAAAGGCUGUGGCUUAACCAUUGUACGCUUUGGAAACUGUUUAACUUGAGUGCAGAAGGGGAGAGUGGAAUUCCAUGUGUAGCGGUGAAAUGCGUAGAUAUAUGGAGGAACACCGGUGGCGAAAGCGGCUCUCUGGUCUGUAACUGACGCUGAGGCUCGAAAGCGUGGGGAGCGAACAGGAUUAGAUACCCUGGUAGUCCACGCCGUAAACGAUGAGUGCUAGGUGUUAGGCCCUUUCCGGGGCUUAGUGCCGCAGCUAACGCAUUAAGCACUCCGCCUGGGGAGUACGACCGCAAGGUUGAAACUCAAAGGAAUUGACGGGGGCCCGCACAAGCGGUGGAGCAUGUGGUUUAAUCCGAAGCAACGCGAAGAACCUUACCAGGUCUUGACAUCCCGAUGCCCGCUCUAGAGAUAGAGUUUUACUUCGGUACAUCGGUGACAGGUGGUGCAUGGUUGUCGUCAGCUCGUGUCGUGAGAUGUUGGGUUAAGUCCCGCAACGAGCGCAACCCUUAUUGUUAGUUGCCAUCAUUCAGUUGGGCACUCUAGCGAGACUGCCGGUAAUAAACCGGAGGAAGGUGGGGAUGACGUCAAAUCAUCAUGCCCCUUAUGACCUGGGCUACACACGUGCUACAAUGGCUGGUACAACGAGUCGCAAGUCGGUGACGGCAAGCUAAUCUCUUAAAGCCAGUCUCAGUUCGGAUUGUAGGCUGCAACUCGCCUACAUGAAGUCGGAAUCGCUAGUAAUCGCGGAUCAGCACGCCGCGGUGAAUACGUUCCCGGGCCUUGUACACACCGCCCGUCACACCACGAGAGUUUGUAACACCCGAAGUCGGUGAGGUAACCUUU
Molecule: ribosomal RNA, 940 nt
Filed under: uncultured bacterium
Lineage: Bacteria
Description: bacterial SSU rRNA
Rfam family: Bacterial small subunit ribosomal RNA
Source: RNAcentral